GGAGUAUACAAUAUUGUCAUGGCUCUUGACUCACGACAAUGAUUCGUAUACGAUGGUUGGUAUACGUCAUGAGUGAUGAUUUGCCAUGAAGUAAAAAUAUUCUAUGCAUAGGAAUAUAGGAACCGGGCAUAGCUGAACCCGGAGUGAAGCCAUGUUCACCAUAUUACGUUGCCAUUGCGAAUUCAUGAGACCCCUAGACAUCUGUAUAGAAUCUAUAGUCUAUGGCUAAAUGCGCAUCCCCUAUUCGUUGGUUUCCGACAAGAACCUCAUUCAUUUAUUCUUAAAAGCAGUUUUCGGAGUAGUCUAGAGUUGCCGCAUAGCAGGGGCACCUCUGCGCCUACGAAAUGACAACCGAACCGACAAACCGGCUAGUAUAGGUUGCCGUAUAGCAGGGGCACCUCUGCGCCUACGAAAUGGCAACCGAACCGACAAACCGGCUAGUAUAGGUUGCCGCAUAACAGGGGCACAUCUGCGCCUACAAACUGGCAACCGAGCCGUUGAACCGGCUAGUAUACGUCGCCGCAUAGGAGGGGCACAUCCUUGGUGUCACUUAAUUUGUUUCACCAGUUACUGACAUGAACUUUUCAUUCACUUUUGGGCAAUUCAUGACACCUCCUCACACAUCGUAACAACUUCUGACGCAUCCUGACAACAUGUACACAUGAUAAGAUAUAAAUUUUAAGUUUUCAAAGUUAUGAGACGACCUAAACUAUUAUAAUAUUUUAUCAAAUCACCCUAAUUCUUCUGUAUCACUACAUCACAUGUUAUAAUAAAUAUAC
Molecule: long non-coding RNA, 779 nt
Organism: Hylaeus volcanicus
Lineage: Eukaryota; Metazoa; Arthropoda; Insecta; Hymenoptera; Colletidae
Exons: 3
Source: RefSeq, a predicted model, not a curated record